RNAcentral lists this ribosomal RNA (916 nucleotides) under Clathrina sp. CU094. Its description in RNAcentral is "SSU rRNA". It matches the Rfam family "Eukaryotic small subunit ribosomal RNA", at positions 48 to 971 of the family's 1831-position model. Lineage: Eukaryota; Metazoa; Porifera; Calcarea; Clathrinida; Clathrinidae. The record is from RNAcentral.
GCCAUGCAUGUCUAAGUAUAAGCGUUCUUAUACUGUGAAACUGCGAAUGGCUCAUUAAAUCAGUUAUAGUUUAUUUGAUGGUGGAUUACUACUUGGAUAACCGUGGUAAUUCUAGAGCUAAUACAUGCGUCAAGUCCCAACUUUACGGAAGGGAUGUAUUUAUUAGAUACAAAACCAAUGCGGCUUCGGUCGGUCUUUGGUGAUUCAUGAUAACUGUUCGGAUCGCAUGGCCUUGCGCCGGCGAUGAAUCAUUCAAAUUUCUGCCCUAUCAACUUUCGAUGGUAAGGUAGUGGCUUACCAUGGUUGCAACGGGUAACGGAGAAUUAGGGUUCGAUUCCGGAGAGGGAGCCUGAGAAACGGCUACCACAUCCAAGGAAGGCAGCAGGCGCGCAAAUUACCCAAUCCCGACACGGGGAGGUAGUGACGAUAAAUAACAAUGCAGGACUUUUACAAGUCUUGCAAUUGGAAUGAGAACAAUUUAAACCCCUUAACGAGGAACAAUUGGAGGGCAAGUCUGGUGCCAGCAGCCGCGGUAAUUCCAGCUCCAAUAGCGUAUAUUAAAGUUGUUGCAGUUAAAAAGCUCGUAGUUGGAUUUCGGAGCUGAGCGUGUGGUCCGCCGUAAGGUGUGCACUGCUCGCUUGGUUCUUCUUCUCGUGGAACGCGUGUGCUCUUUACUGAGUGUGCGUGGGACUCGGGACUUUUACUUUGAAAAAUUAGAGUGUUCAAAGCAGGCCUUUGCUUGAAUACAUUAGCAUGGAAUAAUGAAAUAGGACCAUGGUUCUAUUUUGUUGGUUUUCGGAACCGAGGUAAUGAUUAAUAGGGACAGUUGGGGGCAUUCGUAUUCAAUUGUCAGAGGUGAAAUUCUUGGAUUUAUGGAAGACGAACAACUGCGAAAGCAUUUGCCAAGGAUGUUUUC